RNAcentral lists this ribosomal RNA (450 nucleotides) under Triticum aestivum (bread wheat). RNAcentral's name for it is "partial small subunit ribosomal RNA". Lineage: Eukaryota; Viridiplantae; Streptophyta; Magnoliopsida; Poales; Poaceae. The record is from RNAcentral.
AGUCGGGGUGGAUCUUCAUCGCGGUCCCGCCUGCCGCAAGGUUGGGUCCAAGGAGAUUGGAUCCGCUCGACCAUCACCCAGAAGGAUCUCGACGAUCUGGCCAAUGAGGGACUGAUCCCUCAUGGGUCAGCAAGACUUCCGGGGACCGAGUGGCAACUGCAGCCGCUGGAGGGUGAGUGCGUUCUCUUAGCCACUCAUGUAGAUCGCGGGUUCUCUCUGCCACCGAAUCUUUUCUUCCGAGGGUUUCUGAACUUCUUUGGGGCACAACUCCACCAUUUUACUCCCAAUUCCAUUGCCUACCUCGCCGCUUUCGUGUCUCUGUGCAAAAACUUCCUGGGUUGUCGGCCGCACUGGGGUCUCUUUAAGCACAUAUUCACUUGUCGCUCUCAGACGGUGAAAAAGGCGAGUCCGGAUGAUGAGAGGACCAAGGUUAUCCAGAUGUGUGGGGGG